This 459-nucleotide ribosomal RNA is filed under the name uncultured bacterium. Its description in RNAcentral is "partial 16S ribosomal RNA". It matches the Rfam family "Bacterial small subunit ribosomal RNA", at positions 338 to 795 of the family's 1533-position model. The record is from RNAcentral.
CCUACGGGUGGCUGCAGUGAGGUAUAUUGGUCAAUGGGCGCGAGCCUGAACCAGCCAAGUCGCGUGAAGGAUGACUGCCCUACGGGUUGUAAACUUCUUUUGCAAGGGAGUAAAGUGAGGCACGUGUGCCUUUUUGUAUGUACUUUAUGAGUAAGGAUCGGCUAAGUCCGUCCCAGCCGCGUGGGUAAUACGGGGGGGCCGAGCGUUAUCCGGAUUUAUUGGGUUAAAGGGGUGCGUAGGCGGAUUUUUAAGUCAGCGGUAAAAUGUCCGGGCCAAACCCGGGCCGGCCGUUGAAACUGGGGAUCUGGAGUGGGCGAGAGGUAUGCGGAAUGCGUGGUGUAGCGGUGAAAUGCAUAGAUAUCACGAAGAACUCCGGUGGCGAAGGCAGCAUACCGGCGCACGACUGACGCUGAGGCGCGAAAGCGUGGGGAUCGAACAGGAUUAGAUACCCCAGUAGUC